Molecule: long non-coding RNA, 1131 nt
Filed under: Oryctolagus cuniculus (rabbit)
Lineage: Eukaryota; Metazoa; Chordata; Mammalia; Lagomorpha; Leporidae
Description: lncRNA (ENSOCUG00000032854.1)
Source: RNAcentral
AUGGUGACCAGUCUGGAGAGGGGGCCUCCGGGGUCCCAGUCCCCUCCGCCCUGCUUUAUAAUCCGGCUGGGGUCCUGCACCCCGUGGCUUGGUCCCAGGAGUCCACGCAGCUCCGGGCUCGUGCGCUGCGCGGGGGGUGGGCAGCUCUGGCGACCCCAGUCCCUUCCUCCCUUCUGUCCAAGUCCGGUCCCGGCGGCGCGCCCGGAAGGCGACGGGCGCGCAAAAGAGAAAGGCACAGCCGCCCUCGCGGACUCGGGGCGCCUCCCUCCCUCCCUCCGCGCCCCAACUCCCACUUCUUCUCUCAGGCAGGGCGGCCUCCGCGGUCCGGCCGGGUCGCUGGCCACGCUCCGGAAUAAACGGACAACUUCGGAGAAACUUCCUCCCGCGGCCACGUUGCCCGCCCCCCGGCCCCCCCUCCCCGCCCCCCGGCUGGGUUCUCCGGGCAGACGCGGUCACCGCCGUUCCAGGCGCGGGGGCCCCGGGACCCAGCCGGAGCCGCGCGCGGCGGCGGCAGACGAGGAUGUGGGGGUCCCUUCAGAGGUGCCAGUGGCGGGGGGCGCAGUUAGCAUAACGGACCGGGUCUCCCUGGAGCUGAAGUUUUCUUCUCGAACUUUGCAGGCGACAUCUGGCGGGGCCAAGCCGCCUCCUCUCGGCUGCACAGCCCUCGCGCCGAAUCCGGACGCUCGCUGUCCGCUCCGGGGAUGCCGGGGCCAGGCGCGCCCUCGGCUCCGCGCCCAGCCGCCUAGCAAACUUUGCGGGUCCCGCGGCUCGGCGCGCAGCUCCGCGCGCCCAUGUCCGCGCCGGCGGCUGGGCGGCGGGGGCGGCUGCUGGGCUGGGCAGCCCCGGCUGUCGCCGGCGCCCGGGCGCGCAGCCUCCCGCCCGGCCAAGGAUGAAGAUCGGCCGCUCUGCCCUCCACCGCACCCGGACCGGCGCUCUCGGCGAGACGCACGGAGAGCCCGGCAGGCAGCUCCGGCUCCGGGGGCGCGGAGCCCGCCACGUUCGCCUCACGGUCGGCCUGGAGGAGCCGCGCUGCCGCCGCUCGCCGAGCCCGCCGCCCGCCGCUUCCCGCGGGCUCGGCGUCCUGAGAGCCGCUUCUGCCUGCGCCGAGCUGGAGCUGCGGGGGCAGCGUGA